CGGGAAUGGUGAACAAAGGGCUACACACACAAUCAUAAAACACAUAUCCCAGCCUAAUUACCAGAUUCUCAAUUUCACUUUUCACCUUUUACUGUUACCCACUUCCAAUUUUACUUACCCUAAACCCUAUCUUCACCACACCCAAUACACCGCUGCAGCCACCGUGAACCCUUAUCGCCGCCUCCACUGUGAUGCCGGCACGAAGCAGUCCUCCCGCCGUCCUUGUGCCACACGUUUAGAGUCGCCGUCACGCGGGCGAACAUCCGCCCCCUGCUUCGACGGUGUGCCGAUGCGACUUCUCUCCACGAUUGCACGCUUCUCUUUUCCCUAGAGUUGAGAAACUGAAGCAUGGAUUUGGCAUGAAAGUACCUAGACCAGCUGCAUAAUUAAAUGUAGAAACAAAUACUGUUGCAGGUUUGGGAAGAUGAAUUUUGUGCCUUCCUUGUGAAUACUCAGCAACGUUAUUUGGUAUCAGAUCAUUCAACUAGUCUGGAAAUGCUUAUAAGAUUACAUAUUUAUGUUUGUUAGAAAAACUGCAUGAGGAAUUCUAAGAUUGAUAAUGUCAAGAAGUUUUAGGAGUAGUUCUUUAUUGAGCAGCAAGGCUUGCAUCUAGUGUAGAAUUUGAUGUGUAAAAAUUUAAUUUAUUCCUUUGAGUUUACAAUAGUAAAUUUGUAGUGAUAACCAUGAAAAUUAUAUUUUAAUAUGAUCUUAGAAUUUUUGAAAGAUUAUUGUGAAUUAUUUUAUCUUAAGUGCAUGCAUUCGUGUCAUAUGUUUUUAAAGUGUCAUGUGAAGUGCAGUGUUAGAGGAGACAUAACACAUUACCCCUUUGUUGUAACUUGUAAUGUACAUUAUAAGCUAGUUAUAGAUGUAGGAGUUGAUGUGAAUUUUUCUUUUCUUCCUUAAGUAUGAUUCAAACACACGAGUUCAAACAGAAAGAGCUGAGGUUAGUACUUAGUGGUCCUAUAAUCAAAUUAUAUAGUAUUCAGUUCAAUAUUUAAUUAAUUACUCUAAUUAUUAUGGCAUAAUCAUUGAAAAUAAUGAGACUUAGUGGGACCAAGAGUAAGGUGGUAUUGCAGGAUGCAGAAUUUCUAAGAGCCAAUGGUUGGUGAAUCAGAGAAGGAGUUGGAGGAGUUCAGUGAUGAUGUAUGCUUGAUGAAACUGCUGAAAGAUAAAAUGAAGAGGGUGAACUCUGCAUUUGAAGGGCACUCGCAUACAACAAAGUUGGAAUUUGAAAGACUGAGCAAAGUGAAGGCUAAAUUGAAUAAUUUGAGGCAAAAAUUAAUUGCAAUUCUAAAUUACUGGACAAAUGCUUCUAAUGCAUCCCAUUCUAAUGAACCAUCUAUUAUGUAUGUGUCUACUGCUGCGUUAAGGGAAAACGUUGCAUAGUACUUUUUUUUGUUUCUCUUUUAAUUUUUUUUGUUUACUUCACACAG
Arachis duranensis is the source of this 1433-nucleotide long non-coding RNA. RefSeq lists it as uncharacterized. The transcript has 3 exons. NCBI's taxonomy places the organism in Eukaryota, Viridiplantae, Streptophyta, Magnoliopsida, Fabales, Fabaceae. The record is from RefSeq and is a predicted model, not a curated record.